This 474-nucleotide ribosomal RNA is filed under the name uncultured bacterium. Its description in RNAcentral is "bacterial SSU rRNA". It matches the Rfam family "Bacterial small subunit ribosomal RNA", at positions 335 to 803 of the family's 1533-position model. The record is from RNAcentral.
ACUCCUACGGGAGGCAGCAGUGGGGAAUAUUGCACAAUGGGGGAAACCCUGAUGCAGCCAUGCCGCGUGUGUGAAGAAGGCCUUCGGGUUGUAAAGCACUUUCAGUAGGGAGGAAGGUAGUGUAGUUAACACCUGCACUAUUUGACGUUACCUACAGAAGAAGCACCGGCUAACUCCGUGCCAGCAGCCGCGGUAAGUACGGAGGGUGCGAGCGUUAAUCGGAAUUACUGGGCGUAAAGCGCAUGCAGGCGGCCUGUUAAGUCAGAUGUGAAAGCCCGGGGCUUAACCUCGGAAUUGCAUUUGAAACUGGCAGGCUAGAGUCUUGUAGAGGGGUUAGAAUUUCAGGUGUAGCGGUGAAAUGCGUAGAGAUCUGAAGGAAUACCAGUGGCGAAGGCGGCCCCGUGGACAAAGACUGACGCUCAGAUGCGAAAGCGUGGGAGCAAACAGGAUUAGAUACCCCGUGGUAGCGACUGA